RNAcentral lists this ribosomal RNA (253 nucleotides) under uncultured bacterium. Its description in RNAcentral is "partial 16S ribosomal RNA". It matches the Rfam family "Bacterial small subunit ribosomal RNA", at positions 524 to 776 of the family's 1533-position model. The record is from RNAcentral.
UACGUAGGGUGCAAGCGUUGUCCGGAAUUAUUGGGCGUAAAGAGCUCGUAGGCGGUUUGUCGCGUCUGCUGUGAAAAUCCAGGGCUUAACCCUGGACCUGCAGUGGGUACGGGCAGACUAGAGUGCGGUAGGGGAGAUCGGAAUUCCUGGUGUAGCGGUGAAAUGCGCAGAUAUCAGGAGGAACACCAGUGGCGAAGGCGGAUCUCUGGGCCGUAACUGACGCUGAGGAGCGAAAGCAUGGGGAGCGAACAGG